Molecule: transfer RNA, 74 nt
Filed under: Aeriscardovia aeriphila
Lineage: Bacteria; Bacillati; Actinomycetota; Actinomycetes; Bifidobacteriales; Bifidobacteriaceae
Rfam family: tRNA
About the family: Transfer RNA (tRNA) molecules are approximately 80 nucleotides in length.
Source: Rfam by way of RNAcentral
CGGAUCAUAGCGCAGCUUGGUAGCGCACUUGUCUGGGGGACAAGGGGUCACGGGUUCAAAUCCCGUUGGUCCGA